GCGCGAAAACUUUACAAUGCGGGAAACCGCGAUAAGGGGACACCGAGUGCCAGCAUCCUAUGUUGGCUGUCCACAUGUUUAAAUCACAUGUGUUAGCAAGGGCCGGGCAAGACCGGUGCCAGCCGCCGCGGUAACACCGGCGGCCCGAGUGGUGGCCACUAUUAUUGGGUCUAAAGGGUCCGUAGCCGGUUUGGUCAGUCUUCCGGGAAAUCUGACGGCUCAACCGUUAGGCUUUCGGGGGAUACUACCAGGCUUGGGACCGGGAGAGGUAAGAGGUACUACGGGGGUAGGAGUGAAAUCUUGUAAUCCCUGUGGGACCACCAGUGGCGAAGGCGUCUUACCAGAACGGGUCCGACGGUGAGGGACGAAAGCUGGGGGCACGAACC
RNAcentral lists this ribosomal RNA (386 nucleotides) under uncultured prokaryote. RNAcentral's name for it is "bacterial SSU rRNA". It matches the Rfam family "Archaeal small subunit ribosomal RNA", at positions 339 to 725 of the family's 1478-position model. The record is from RNAcentral.